GACAAUAAAUAACAAUGCCGGGCCUUUACAGGUCUGGCAAUUGGAAUGAGAACAAUUUAAAUCCCUUAACGAGGAUCAAUUGGAGGGCAAGUCUGGUGCCAGCAGCCGCGGUAAUUCCAGCUCCAAUAGCGUAUAUUAAUGUUGUUGCAGUUAAAAAGCUCGUAGUUGAAUUUCUGAAUUUAACGUUCGGUCCGAGGGCAUUAUGUUCCUUGUGUACUGUUUUAGUUAAGUUCAUCUUAGUAGUGAGUGUACCUGGCAUUAGGUUGUCGGUUGCAGGAGCUGCUUCGCUUACCGUGAGAAAAAUAGAGUGUUCAAAGCAGGCAUAAUCGCCUUGAAUACUUCAGCAUGGAAUAAGAAAAUAGGACGCAGGUGCUAUUUUAUUGGUUUGCACACCACGUAAUGAUUAAUAGGGAUAGUUGGGGGUAUUCAUAUUUGAUUGUCAGAGGUAAAAUUCUUGGAUUUAUGAAAGAUGAACUUAUGCGAAAGCAUUUAUCAAGGAUGUUUUCAUUAAUCAAGAACGAAAGUUAGGGGAUCGAAGAGGAUUAGAUACCCUCGUAGUCUUAACCAUAAACUAUGCCGACUCGGGAUCAGUGGGGUUUGUUUAACGUCUCCAUUGGCACCGUAUGAGAAAUCAAAGUCUUUGGGUUCCGGGGGGAGUAUGGUCGCAAGGCUGAAAUCCA
Molecule: ribosomal RNA, 680 nt
Filed under: uncultured heterokont
Lineage: Eukaryota
Description: bacterial SSU rRNA
Rfam family: Eukaryotic small subunit ribosomal RNA
Source: RNAcentral